This 765-nucleotide ribosomal RNA is filed under the name uncultured Entoloma. Its description in RNAcentral is "partial 28S ribosomal RNA". It matches the Rfam family "Eukaryotic large subunit ribosomal RNA", at positions 216 to 962 of the family's 3401-position model. The record is from RNAcentral. Lineage: Eukaryota; Fungi; Basidiomycota; Agaricomycetes; Agaricales; Entolomataceae.
GAAUCCCGUUUUCGACACGGACUACCAGAGCUUUGUGAUGUGCUCUCGAAGAGUCGAGUUGUUUGGGAAUGCAGCUCUAAAUGGGUGGUAAAUUCCAUCUAAAGCUAAAUAUUGGCGAGAGACCGAUAGCGAACAAGUACCGUGAGGGAAAGAUGAAAAGAACUUUGGAAAGAGAGUUAAACAGUACGUGAAAUUGUUGAAAGGGAAACGCUUGAAGUCAGUCGCAUCGAUUAGGAAUCAACCUUGUCUUUUUUUGCUUGGUGCAUUUCCUGGUCGAUGGGUCAGCAUCAAUUUUGACCAGUGGAAAAAGGUUAAGGGAAUGUGGCAUCUUCGGAUGUGUUAUAGCCCUCGAUUGCAUACAUUGGUUGGAAUUGAGGAAUUCAGCAUGCCGCAAGGCCGGAUUUUUUAAUCACGCUCAUGCUUAGGAUGCUGGCAUAAUGGCUUUAAUCGACCCGUCUUGAAACACGGACCAAGGAGUCUAACAUGCCUGCGAGUGUUUGGGUGGAAAACCCAUGCGCGCAAUGAAAGUGAAAGUUGAGAUCCCCUUCAAAAAGGGAGCAUUGACGCCCGGACCAGAGCUUCUGUGACGGAUCCGCGGUAGAGCAUGCAUGUUGGGACCCGAAAGAUGGUGAACUAUGCCUGAAUAGGGUGAAGCCAGAGGAAACUCUGGUGGAGGCUCGUAGCGAUUCUGACGUGCAAAUCGAUCGUCAAAUUUGGGUAUAGGGGCGAAAGACUAAUCGAACCAUCUAGUAGCUGGUUCCUGCC